GCUCAAAUUUGAAAUCUGACGCUGAAUUAUUCCGGCGUUCGAGUUGUAAUUUGGAGGAACAUCUUCGGGGGCGGGCGCUGUUCUAAGUACUUUUGGAAUUGGACGUCAUAGAGGGUGAGAAUCCCGUGCCAGGACGGCUGACCCGUGUCCAUGUGAAGUGUUUCCGACGAGUCGAGUUGUUUGGGAAUGCAGCUCAAAAUGGGUGGUAAAUUUCAUCUAAAGCUAAAUACAGGCGAGAGACCGAUAGCGCACAAGUAGAGUGAUCGAAAGAUGAAAAGCACUUUGAAAAGAGAGUUAAACAGUACGUGAAAUUGUUGAAAGGGAAGCGCUUGAGAUCAAACCUUGGCGGUUGUGGUGAUCCCCGGUGGAAGGGUGUCAAAGCUCUUUCAACGGUUGUCAUUGCUGCAGGCCAGGCCAGCAUCGGUUCUGACGGUGGGAAAAAGGGAUCAGGGAAUGUGGCUCUUCGGUUUCGAGGAGUGUUAUAGCCCAGAGCUCUAUAUGCCACCAGUUUGGGACCGAGGAUCGCGCAGAUUUUUUCUGCUAGGAUGGUGGCAUAAUGGUUUUAAGCGACCCGUCUUG
RNAcentral lists this ribosomal RNA (579 nucleotides) under Lamprospora aff. verrucispora. RNAcentral describes it as "partial large subunit ribosomal RNA". It matches the Rfam family "Eukaryotic large subunit ribosomal RNA", at positions 107 to 656 of the family's 3401-position model. The record is from RNAcentral. Lineage: Eukaryota; Fungi; Ascomycota; Pezizomycetes; Pezizales; Pyronemataceae.